GAUGAACGCUGGCGGCGUGCCUAAUACAUGCAAGUCGAGCGAACAGAUGAGGAGCUUGCUCCUCUGACGUUAGCGGCGGACGGGUGAGUAACACGUGGAUAACCUACCUAUAAGACUGGGAUAACUUCGGGAAACCGGAGCUAAUACCGGAUAAUAUAUUGAACCGCAUGGUUCAAUAGUGAAAGACGGUUUUGCUGUCACUUAUAGAUGGAUCCGCGCCGCAUUAGCUAGUUGGUAAGGUAACGGCUUACCAAGGCAACGAUGCGUAGCCGACCUGAGAGGGUGAUCGGCCACACUGGAACUGAGACACGGUCCAGACUCCUACGGGAGGCAGCAGUAGGGAAUCUUCCGCAAUGGGCGAAAGCCUGACGGAGCAACGCCGCGUGAGUGAUGAAGGUCUUCGGAUCGUAAAACUCUGUUAUUAGGGAAGAACAAAUGUGUAAGUAACUAUGCACGUCUUGACGGUACCAAAUCAGAAAGCCACGGCUAACUACGU
RNAcentral lists this ribosomal RNA (496 nucleotides) under uncultured bacterium. RNAcentral's name for it is "partial 16S ribosomal RNA". It matches the Rfam family "Bacterial small subunit ribosomal RNA", at positions 28 to 506 of the family's 1533-position model. The record is from RNAcentral.